GAUGAAGAACGCAGCGAAAUGCGAUACGUAAUGUGAAUUGCAGAAUUCAGUGAAUCAUCGAGUCUUUGAACGCACAUUGCGCCCCCUGGUAUUCCGGGGGGCAUGCCUGUCCGAGCGUCAUUGCUGCCCUCAAGCACGGCUUGUGUGUUGGGCCUCCGUCCUCCUCCCGGGGGACGGGCACGAAAGGCAGCGGCGGCACCGCGUCCGGUCCUCGAGCGUAUGGGGCUUCGUCACCCGCUCUUGUAGGCCCGGCCGGCGCUUGCCGACACAUCAAUCUUUUUUCCAGGUUGACCUCGGAUCAGGUAGGGAUACCCGCUGAACUUAAGCAUAUCAAUAAGCGGAGGA
This 345-nucleotide unclassified non-coding RNA is filed under the name soil metagenome. Its description in RNAcentral is "partial contains 5.8S ribosomal RNA, internal transcribed spacer 2, and large subunit ribosomal RNA". The stretch from base 1 to 120 matches the Rfam family "5.8S ribosomal RNA", at positions 35 to 154 of the family's 154-position model. The record is from RNAcentral.